UGAGCAAUCUGCCCUUCUCAUCGGAAUAAGCGUUGGAAACGACGUCUAAUGCCGAAUACGACCUCCUUUCGCAUGAUCGGAGGUGGAAAGCUCCGGCGGAGAAGGAUGAGCUCGCGGCCUAUCAGCUAGUUGGUGUGGGUAAUGGCCCACAAGGCGACGACGGGUAGCCGGCCUGAGGAGGGUGACCCGGCCACACUGGGACUGAGACACGGCCCAGACUUCCGUACGGGAGCAG
RNAcentral lists this ribosomal RNA (235 nucleotides) under uncultured bacterium. RNAcentral describes it as "partial 16S ribosomal RNA". It matches the Rfam family "Bacterial small subunit ribosomal RNA", at positions 118 to 347 of the family's 1533-position model. The record is from RNAcentral.